This is a long non-coding RNA of Acanthochromis polyacanthus (spiny chromis), 423 nucleotides long. RefSeq lists it as uncharacterized. Lineage: Eukaryota; Metazoa; Chordata; Actinopteri; Pomacentridae. The record is from RefSeq and is a predicted model, not a curated record. The transcript has 2 exons.
ACACGGUCUCACGGGGAUUCGUGAAACUGUUACGUAAAUUUUUUGUUUCUUUUUCGUGCGCACCAACACGAUUUCGUCAUGUUUUUCGUGCCGCUCACCACGAAAUGUUUUUCGUGUUGCUCACAACGAAACCCGCUGUGGUAAUCACAGCUGAAAGUGGUUUAUACCAGCGGAUUCAUGACGAUCUAAGCUGUCCAUCGGCGUAUACUGCUUGUGUGAUCGCGUUUGCGGCCGCCGGCCGCCGGACAUUCUUUAAAUUCCUAUGCAAAUUGGUAAGUGUACCACCGGGUUAUGGUUAGGUUAUGGUUAGGUUAUGGUUAGGGUUAUGGUUAGGGACGAUGUCAUGCAAAAUAUAGCGUUGGAUUCGCCAUGGUUUUACAUUAAAAAUAUAAUACACACAUUCGUUUGAAAUACGUUCUGGGU